This 592-nucleotide ribosomal RNA is filed under the name Lacticaseibacillus manihotivorans. RNAcentral's name for it is "bacterial SSU rRNA". It matches the Rfam family "Bacterial small subunit ribosomal RNA", at positions 17 to 574 of the family's 1533-position model. Lineage: Bacteria; Bacillati; Bacillota; Bacilli; Lactobacillales; Lactobacillaceae. The record is from RNAcentral.
UCCUGGCUCAGGAUGAACGCUGGCGGCGUGCCUAAUACAUGCAAGUCGAACGAGGUUUUGUUGAAUGAUUUCUUCGGAAUGAAUUCUUUAAAACCGAGUGGCGGACGGGUGAGUAACACGUGGGUAACCUGCCCUUAAGUAGGGGAUAACAUUUGGAAACAGAUGCUAAUACCGUAUAAACCUCAGAAACACAUGUUUCUGAGUUGAAAGGCGGCUUUCGAGCUGUCGCUUUUGGAUGGACCCGCGGCGUAUUAGCUAGUUGGUGAGGUAAAGGCUCACCAAGGCAGUGAUACGUAGCCGACCUGAGAGGGUGAUCGGCCACAUUGGGACUGAGACACGGCCCAAACUCCUACGGGAGGCAGCAGUAGGGAAUCUUCCACAAUGGACGAAAGUCUGAUGGAGCAACGCCGCGUGAGUGAAGAAGGUUUUCGGAUCGUAAAACUCUGUUGUUGGAGAAGAACACGUUUGAGAGUAACUGUUCAGACGUUGACGGUAUCCAACCAGAAAGCCACGGCUAACUACGUGCCAGCAGCCGCGGUAAUACGUAGGUGGCAAGCGUUAUCCGGAUUUAUUGGGCGUAAAGCGAGCGCAG